GAGCUAUGUGCAAAACUAAGACUUUACCCCCAAAGAAAAUAACAUUACUUUUAGAUUCCUCUUUCUAAAAAUCCAUUUUAGAUGUGUUCUCUCUAGAUAAUUUAUGGAUGAUAUUUCUAUUUCAUAUAUAUUUUUGGGGAUGUUGGUUCCACAGUCUAUGGAGUUCCCAUCGUGGUUCAGCGCAUUAAGAACCCUACUAGUAUUCAUGAGGUUGUGGGUUCAAUCCCGGGCCUUGCUCAGUGGGUUAAGGAUCCAGUGUUGCUGUAAGCUGCCGCAUAGUUUGCAGAAGCAGCUGGACAUAGGGCAGCUCAGAUGGAUCCGGCGUGGCUGUGGCUGUGGCGUAGGCUGGCAGCUGCAGCUCUGAUUCAACUCCUUGCCUGGGAACUUCAUAUGCCACAGGUGCACCCCAAAAAAGAAAAAAUAUGAGGCCACAGAAUUCAAUCGGGCAAAACAGACAGCCUAAUGAACUUGCUUCACCUUGCAGUGGAAGUUGUACUUGGGGUAUGAAAGGAAGUACAAUUGAGAAGCAUCUAUUGCAGUAAGGGAAGGCUUUCCAGAAAAGGUGGUAACUAAGCUGAUUCCUGAGGGACAAGUGUGCAGUGUCUCCUUUUUCUCUGGGAAGGUGAUCCAAUCAGAGAAACCCUGAGUAAAGCUCCAGAGGUUUGGAGAGUAAGGUUUGCCUUGUACCUACUCACAUAUCGAGGUUCACUAACAAAAUAAGGAUAAGCUGGAGUUCCUUGGUGGCCUAGGGGAUUAAGGAUCCAGUGUUGUCACUGCUGUGGCUUGGGUCACUGCUGUGACACAGGUUCAGUCCCUGGCCUGGGAACUUCUACAUGCCAUAGGCAUGCCCAAAAGAAUAAAAAAAUAAAAAAUAAGGAUGAGUUGGGGAUCUCUACAAUACAUUGCCUUUGUGCCACAGAGGUCAUCAGUAAAACCUCAAAGAUUGAACACAAGUUGUUCCCAAGAUGUGGUUCCAGAUGGGAAAUAUUUUGAAGGCACUCAUGGGUAAGAUUUUUCUACCAAGAAUCCACUGGUGCCAUUUCUGAGACAAAGGCAGAAUAUGAUAUUAGAAUUUAGAUAACAUUCCAUUAUUCUUUAUAUAAACUGGUAGUAUUUACAGGACCUUUCUCCAUCUGUUCCUAAAUGGUAAUAUGCCAAUAGAAGCUUUUUGUCUUUCUUCCCCCUUUCACUAUUCAGUCACUGGUUAAUAAUUCAUGAUGAAUCCCUUCUUUCCAGCAUCCCUUAAUCUCAUCAUUCUCCACCACUCUCCCCCCUUUCUAUCCCACCCUGCUCUACCCUAUCAAAUGUAUAUACCUAAUCCAUCCUUAGACCAGAUCGAUAACUUUCCUGACAUCCCAGACUAAAGUAUUAACCAUUCCUUUACCUUUGUUGUAUUUAUUUAUUUAUACCCCACAUGACUUCAGGUUACUCCAUUCCUACACAUUCUGAAGCUAAAGCCAUUUUACAUGGAAAAGGUUUUAAACAAAUCACUGUACGCACUCUUCGGAUACACUUUGAGGCUUCAUCACCUCCUGGAUGAAGGUCAUUCAAAACCUCUCUGACUGUACUCCAUCCUGUAACCUCCACUCUGUGUGAAUUCAAUUUAGCAACCUACACUCCCUUUUCCUAACACUAAGCUUGUUCUGCACUGUUAGGACAUCCUCCUCCAUCCUGGAACAAUUCAAGGACACCCUCCUCCACCAGCCGGCCACGCACAGAUUGUAAGUGACCAGGAGUGAAGUCCAAGAGAUUUUCAUUGUAAUGCAGUGCUGCCACCACCACUGGGAACCAGGAGGCGGGUCACUUGAUGUUUCAGCGUUUGAAUUCUCUCACUAGUUACACACAAAAAACAGAGUAGUAAUGGACUGCUAAGACCUCUUUGAAAGCCAUGUCCCUUUCCAUCCUUCCGUGUACAUAACAGCAACACUGUUUUAGUACAAAUAAUAUGGAACCAAGAAAAGAAUUUUAAGUAAGGAGUGAAAAAAAUCCAUCCAUUUGCCAGGUAACAGAAUGUUAUCAGUUUAGAGCUCAUUCCGUUGGUUUAAACCUGAUACUAAUGAGAUGAAGGUCAUGGGUUCCAUUCCCUAAUGGCCAGCUAGCUUUGAUCUGUUUCAUAGCCACAAGCUGCUUUCCUAACCCCAGUUUCCCAUGUUGUAAUGUGUGCUAUUGGUCACAAGUCUUAAGGUGAAAUUGAAUCUUUCCAUAGAAAUUUUCUAAAAUGAACAAUACUACAUAUUAUCUUACUUUUAAGUGUGAGUCAAGUUAUUGAAUUGUUUAGUCUACACCAUUGUGUGUUCCAUGUUUUUCCAAGUAUAAAAAUGACAUUGAUUUGGCCAAGAUUCUUAUUAUUGAUAUUUAUUUACAAGGGCUGAGUUUGAUUUUCUUAUUAGUGUUCUAGAUACUACUAAAAUGUUCAUAUAGUUCUCAAAUUUGAAUUCUGGUUAUCUUUCUUCUGUCAUAGCUGUAUACAUUCUUAGCACAGGGCUUAGGAUAGAGAAAUGUAAUUGAAAUGUUGAGGAUGAAAGAAAAAGGAUAUAUUAGUCAUCAGGUAAAGAGAGGAUUAUAAUGUAUAUCACAUUCUCAACAUUUUAAGGAAAUUAAUAUAUAAAGAACUUAUGGAUAGAUGUGAUAUGUGUAAUUUUGUUUAGAUGCCACGGUAUCUAAGAUAGCUAAGAUAACUUCUAUCAUAAGAUAGAAAUAUGACAGACAUAUUCAAAAGAGUGGAAUAAUAUGGGACUAUAGAUGGACUUCUAAAUUAUAUGGAAAAGAUAGUAGUUUAUAAUUUUCCAUAACACACUCACUUAAAGCCUAAGUCCAAAAGCGUUAUAACUAAAGAGUAUUAGGGGGACAAGCCAGACUUCAGAACAUGUCUGUGAAAAUAGCCCCUGAUACACUUAGAGCCUGGUUCUAGAAUGUUCUUUCCACUUGACCUGGUCUCCAGGCCCUAGCUGAUUGGUUCAGGAGUGGGCAUUCAAUCCAAGGACUGAAUCAAGUAGGGGGAGCCAAUGAGUCAGCAGAGAGUGCUUCCCCAUAUGAAGAGAAGUGACGAAAUGGACCAGUCUAUUCCCAUGCUUGGCCAUGUGAGCUGGAAAUACUGGAGAUAAAAUUACAAAACUAAAUGAUUCACGGAGAGAAAAAGGUACAGUGCAGAUACAUUAGCUGUUAGGCAUAGCAAAUAUGCAUAAGUAGAAACCAUAAGGUAGAGCCGAGCGGAAGUUAAGCCAGCCAGAUGAAGAUGUCAGAGCUGCCCUGGGCUCUGCAUGACCUUCUAUCCCCAAAUGUCAUUCUAGUCUUGGACAGGCUUGGCUGCUCUGGGUUACCCUGAAGAUCACCCGCAUAGCUAGAAUCUCUGUCUUCAGUAGUUUCACACAUUGAUUCCCCAUCCCUUAUGGAAAAUUGAGUUGUUUUUUGAAUUGAGUAGAUAAACAUAGCAAUGGGUAUGACUUGGUUUUUCGAGCCUUACAGAUUUAAAGGGGACCAAGUCAAAAGUCAGUUCAGUCAGCCCAGUACCCAGUCACUUCGUUCCCAUUAGGGGAACACACAGGCCAGACAGUGAGGCUCAAAUCCCAAGUCCACGACUUGCUAAUGUGUGAUCUUGGGCAAGUUGCUAAACCUCUCUUACCUCAGAUCCUACAUCUGUAAAAUGGGGAUAUUUACAGUGCCUAGCUCGGGAGGUUGUGAUGAGGGCUUAAUGGAUGAAUGUACAACUAAACCUUGGCAUGUGGUUAGUGAUCAAUAAAUGUUAGCUUGUGAGUCAGGAUAUUUGCCUGAGUUGUUCCCUGCCCUAUUCCUAGCACCUACAUUUGCACCUGAACACAGUUAAUUGUGUGAUAAAUAUUUAUUGAAUGACUUAAGGAAAUAUUAUUAUAUGAAUUAUUACAUCCACUCUUUUACUUCUCCCUUCCCAGAGGUUUCAGGUCAUAGGUGUGCCCAUGGACAGAUCCUCCUAAAAGUUCCUAAAAGCAUGUAAACAGAGAAUGCUAAUGGAAUUCAUAGGCCCUAUUUCAAAGGAGCCUGCUGUUCAGAAUAUAUUAUCUUUAUUUAGCAUUUAUAUUACACUUUUACAUUUUCAAAGCCCUUUUCCGUUUUUUAACUAAAUAUUUGUUAUAACAUUCCUAUCUUAUCUUUCAUAAGGGAGGUAACUGAGGCAUGGUUCCAAUCAUUAAUACCUAUAUCGGGAAUAAAAUUCAUCACAGAAAUACAGUAAGUGUAACUUACAUAAAUACUGUAAGUAUAUAAAGAAAAAAAAAUCUGGAACAUUACUUUGUUCGUGUAGAAUGCCGAAUGGAAUGUCAGCCUUCGAGAAGAAGACAAUCUGUUACUUUAAAUUAUACUAGCUAUGCCUUUCACUUGGUUCUAUUUCAGAAACUAGAAUCAAUAGAAAAAACUGAGGUUUCUCAAUGGAUUUGAAGACUUUAAGGAAUAAAAUUUUGAAAUUCAAUAGUGAAACUUUUCACCACAUCUCAGUAAUUUCCCAAUCUUUUUCUAUGAAAACUUCUUCAAGAAAGCAGUUCGUGCCUCAUGUCAGUGUACUGGGGGUUUCUGUAUGUAUGCCCUUAGAAUUUGUAGACAGUGAAGUAUGAAAGGGUAAAAAUCAGUAUAUUGUUGAUGAAAUCAGUCAAGAGUAAUCUAGUUCCGGGAGAUUUGGAAAAUGCCCAAAUCCAAUCCGGUGUCCCUACUGAGAUUCAAGAAAGUUUGAAAAUGUAUUGGACUGAAAAGAGAUACUGAGUUUUGGUUACCAGUCUAGCUGAUUGACUUCACUGGAGAUUAAAACAAUCCUAACGCAGAGGAGCCCUCGAUAAAGCUGGAUAAUCCGUUUCUUUGACUCUAGCUAACUUCCUCUUCCAAGCCUAACCAGCUGUUUACAAAUCUCAAGGCCAGACUCCAUGCCAGGUGUCUUCUAUUCCAAGGUGAGCUCCUUCAGCUCUUCCCUUCAGUUCCAAAUCUCUUUCCCUCUUCCAUCUCCAGGGGAAAAUAUCCCAAUUUCUUCCCCAGGCUGUCACUCUCACUGUGUUCUUGAUCACACUCUCUCUGUCUUCUUCCAUAAAUUUUCAUUAUUCUCCCAAUGUUUACGGUUCGUUAUUCGCCACUGGCUUUUUUCACAGCCAAAAAAAUAUGCUCACAUCUUCCCAGUCCUAAAAAAGAAAACUUUUUGUAAGUUCUACAUCCCUUCACAUAUUGUACCAUAAUUUCUCCUUUCUUUUGCUGCCCAAACCCCUUGAACAAGCAGUUUACACUCAACUUCUCAGUUUCCCCAUGUCCGAUUCAUUCUUCAGUCCACAGACAUUACUGAACAGGCUUUCUUCUUUGUAAAGUCUCCAGUGACUUCCCAAAAUGUCAAAUCUAGUGGCCACAGUCCACUUCCUAUUUAUGAUUCUUGAAGCAUUUGACAGUGUUGACUAAUCCCUUCUUUGAAAUUGUCUUCUCACGUAACCUCUUUGUCAAUUCACUUUUCUGGUUGUUCUUCCGUCCCUUGGACAAAAUCCCUCUUGCUCUUCCCACCUGAAAAAUGAGUCUUCUGGAAUAAAGUUCUGGUCAUCCCCUCUGUUUUUACACUCUCUCAUGCUCGUGUUGUCUCUCAGAAUCACUGACUUAUCUUUUUCUAAAGAACUCCUGGAUGAUACUUUUGUUCAUGAGCAUUCUAUAGAGCUUCAGACCUACAUGUCCAAAUUUCUUGAGCCAUUCCAUGUGGAUCUUCUAUGUGUCUGAAGACAAUGGCAUAAUGCGGUGGUUUAAAACAAACAAACAGGAGUUCCCGUCGUGGCGCAGUGGUUAACAAACCCGACUAGGAACCAUGAGGUUGUGGGUUCGGUCCCUGCCCUUGCUCAGUGGGUUAACGAUCCGGCGUUGCUGUGAGCUGUGGUGUAGGUUGCAGACGAGGCUCGGAUCCCGCGUUGCUGUGGCUCUGGUGUAGGCCAGUGGCUACAGCUCUGAUUUGACCCCUAGCCUGGGAACCUCCAUAUGCCGCGGGAGCGGCCCAAAGAAAUAGCAAAAAGACAAAAACAAACAAACAAACAAAAAAAGCUUUGGAGUUCCCAUUGUGGUGCAGCAGAAACAAACCUGACUGGUAACCAUGAGGAUACAGGUUCAAUCCCUGGCCUUGCUCAGCAGGUUAAGGGUUCAGUGUUGCUAUGAGCUGUAGUGUAGGUCACAGACGUGGGUCAGAUCCUGUGUGGCUGUGGCUGUGGCUGUUGCUGGCAGCUGAAGCUCUGAUUCGACCCCUAGCCUGGGAACCUACAUAUGCCACGUGUGUGGCCCUAAUAAACAAAACAAAAAUAAAACAAAACAAAACAACAAAAAAAAAACCAACAACCUUUGGGGUUAGACCUCUGUUGGAAUCCCACUUCCAUUACUUACCUAGAUAUUAGUAACUUAAUCUAACUAAACUGAGUUUCCCCCCAUAUUCAGUAAUAUCUCCUGCACUGGCCAUUAUCAAGAUUAAAGGGUGCGGGGAGUUCCCGUCGUGGCUCAGUAGUUAACAAAUCUGACUAGGAACCAUGAGGUUGUGGGUUCGAUCCCUGGCCUCACUCAGUGGAUUAAGGAUCUGGCGUUGCUGUGAGCUGUGAUGUAGGUUGUAGACAUGGCUUGGAUCCCGAGUUGCUGUGGCUCUGGUGUAGGUCGGCAGCAACAGCUCUGAUUCAACCCCUAGCCUGGGAACCUCCAUAUGCUGAGGGAGCAGCCCUAGAAAAGGCAAAAACAAGAU
This 6703-nucleotide long non-coding RNA is filed under the name Sus scrofa (pig). RNAcentral's name for it is "lncRNA (ENSSSCG00000054947.1)". Lineage: Eukaryota; Metazoa; Chordata; Mammalia; Artiodactyla; Suidae. The record is from RNAcentral.